This 641-nucleotide ribosomal RNA is filed under the name Geosmithia sp. CCF3564. Its description in RNAcentral is "eukaryotic LSU rRNA". It matches the Rfam family "Eukaryotic large subunit ribosomal RNA", at positions 1 to 667 of the family's 3401-position model. The record is from RNAcentral. Lineage: Eukaryota; Fungi; Ascomycota; Sordariomycetes; Hypocreales; Bionectriaceae.
UUGACCUCGGAUCAGGUAGGAAUACCCGCUGAACUUAAGCAUAUCAAUAAGCGGAGGAAAAGAAACCAACAGGGAUUGCCUCAGUAACGGCGAGUGAAGCGGCAACAGCUCAAAUUUGAAAUCUGGCCCCCAGGCCCGAGUUGUAAUUUGUAGAGGAUGCUUCUGGCGACGCGCCUUCCGAGUUCCCUGGAACGGGACGCCAAAGAGGGUGAGAGCCCCGUCCGGUCGUGCGCCUAGCCUCUGUGAAGCUCCUUCGACGAGUCGAGUAGUUUGGGAAUGCUGCUCUAAAUGGGAGGUAUACGUCUUCUAAAGCUAAAUACCGGCCAGAGACCGAUAGCGCACAAGUAGAGUGAUCGAAAGAUGAAAAGCACUUUGAAAAGAGGGUUAAAUAGUACGUGAAAUUGCUGAAAGGGAAGCGCUUAUGACCAGACUUGGGCUUGGUGAAUCAUCCGGCGUUCUCGCCGGUGCACUUUGCCGGUCCAGGCCAGCAUCAGUUCGUCUCGGGGGAUAAAGGCUUCGGGAAAGUAGCUCCCUCGGGAGUGUUAUAGACCGUUGCGCAAUACCCUGAGGUGGACUGAGGUACGCGUUCUGCAAGGAUGCUGGCGUAAUGGUCAUCAGUGACCCGUCUUGAAACACGGACC